Rattus norvegicus (Norway rat) is the source of this 3384-nucleotide non-coding RNA. The record is from RefSeq and is a predicted model, not a curated record. NCBI's taxonomy places the organism in Eukaryota, Metazoa, Chordata, Mammalia, Rodentia, Muridae.
CCCCGCGGCCGCUUCGCUCCCUCCCUCCCUCGCUCCCUCCCUCCACCCCACCCCGCCCUGCCCCCUCCUCGCUCCGCGCCGCCCGCCACGGGGAGGGCGCACUGGGCUCGCGUCACUCCUCCCCCUCUGGACCUGGCUGCGGGCUUCUGCUCUUAUCGCCUCCCGGACUCUCCGGGGUCCUGCUCGCACUACAAAUUCCUUUCGGGCUCUUUCCCUUUCCCCAUCUGCCCUCUUCAAAGCCAGGGCUACAGAUCCUCAGGCAUUCUGCUGGGAGGAGAACUCCCAAUCCUGGCAAGACUCGACUACCUCUGACUUCAGCAAUUCAUUCUCUGUCCCUUCCAGCAGCCCGUUUCUUAUCACAGAAGUGCCCCAACCCCGCAACCCGUGAGUGGACACACCCUGCCCCUCCUCCACCCCCGCCGGACCCUGUGGGGACUGAGUUUUGGGGAGACAGUGCCCUGGAAGAGCUUCCUUAGCUACGGUCCCCAGUGCCCGAACUGACACCAUCUGUCAACUUCAUUUAGACAGUGCGGCCCUCAGCCACACGCCAGGGUGCCAGACGUCCCAAGGUAUUACAUGUUACGAAGUUUCUCUAAAUCUGUAAGAAAUGGCUCUGGUCUGCAGCAGGUCCUAGACAGUGGGCAGUGGGGACCCGCCCGGGACAAGGCAAGGUCUGCAAACUUGAAGCCUCCUCUUCGUUCUAGUAUACCAGCCCCCUUCCUGACUCCAGAAAGAAUGGGAGCUUAGUGGCUAAACGUCUGUGUUUCCAUCAUGGAUGUGUUCAAAUCUGUUGGGAAAGAACACAGCUGAUUGUGAAUUAGGUCAAAUUCUUUCUUCCUGCAAGAGUAUCCGUUUGUGGUGGGCAGGCUUUUGGUUAUUUGUUUACUUUUGCUCCGCUGAGAUUGAGGCAAAGGAGAGGGCUCUCUACCUGAGUCCCAGUCCCAGCCCAGCCACGGUUAACAUGGAAGUCUCCUUGCUGAUUUGUUUAGAUUGGUCCCACUCUCUAGGAGGUCCCUUCUUCUGGUGUGAGCCCCCUCCACUGAUUUUAUUCCCUAGAAACAACAAAAAUCUUGAUUUUUUUUAAAUGGACAAGUGCAGGGGUAUGGUUUAAUUAAAUGAUUUUAGAUCAGCCCGUGGGCUUGGUUUUUAACAGAAAGAAAGAGAGAGAGAGAGAGAGAGAGAGAGAGAGAGAGAGAGAGAGAGAGAGACCGUACAACUCAGAACUGAUGCCAUAUUGGGUUAGUCAGCUUCUCCAUCUGGGCUGUGGGUUCCCUUCCUCUUCCAAGCCGAUAGGGCACCACCCCUGCCCCAGAGCAAGGGAAUGUAAACUUAGCAGAAAUUGGAUUUCUCUGAUUUUGUUCUGCAAUCCACACUUUAUUCUAGGAAAUCGCUCCAUUGUUGUGGUUUAAAUCUUUUCUUAGCAUUGUUUCCUUUGUUUCGUGGGUUUUACAUGAAUUGGCUUAGACUAAACCAGUAGAAACGGGAGAGACCCAUACACACUAGCCAUCUUUGACGGCAUUAAGGAUCGGUCUGGGGGGAGCUGGCAUCCUCUGCGCCUUUCUCUUCCUUCAGCCUCAGCCUGGAUGGGAGAGCCCAUCGUUUUUACCACGUGUUUAGGUCCGUGCUUAGGGUUUUGAGCGCCCACGACGCCUUUCAAUAAUUGCUUGUGACACUAGGGUCUGGGUUUGCUUAGGUAAUUGCUAGGGUCUUUGCCUGCUGCCGUCCACUCCCUAGACCUUUAAAAUCGGCCAGCGCCACGUUAAGCUUUGUGGUGUUAGGUGGUUGCUCCAAAAGUAGGGAUUGAAGAGAGCAACUUAAUCUGGAAGGCAUAGCUAACAUUAAAAAACCCCCUUUACAGUCUACUCUCUCUCCUUGGCCAGGAACCUCUAUAGUCCUUGGUAGGAAAUCUAAGAGCUAGAUUUUACUUGGAUUCAUCCUUCAGCACUCCAAAUGCGUGUGUGUUCAGGGUCCGUGACCCAGUUGGCCAGGUCAGAGAUGCUAGGACAGAGGGCUAAUUUACCAGACCCGCCUCCAUAAAAACAAAACAAAACAACCCCCCAGGCCUCUUUCUAUCCAAUUCUAGAUGCUCAGGGUGGAAAUGCCACGUCCGAAUGUCCCCGGGAACCUGUCUCCACAGUGCCCACUCUCACCCCAACCCCGCAGGCAGGAACAAGUGCCAUUCAGGUUUCUACGUCGUGCUGUGUUUAGGGGUGGAGCUGCCAGGGGCACAGGCCAGAGCAUCUCCUAAAAGAAGAGGAAGAAGCUGAGAGGCCUGCACUUCAUAUCUGAAAAGAGAAUGUGGGUGUGGAUACCCCAUAGGCACGUUGAUUCUGCGAUACAGCUCGGGGGGGGGGGGGGUCUGCUGGCUUUAGGGCACUGGAUCUAGCUUUGAGAUUAUCUGGAAACCUGUGGGAGACUGGCGGCCGCGUGGGCCUUACAGUACAGCAACAUGAGCUCUCACGAGUGGCCACCCUGCCCUUGGUUGUCUCACCCCCACCCCCUUUUGAGUUUUCUCAGCCCCCUCCUUCCUUUCGCCCUGGGGGUGGCUAGGAUGGCUAGUCACUAAGACUCACGGGGAAAUCACUGCAGAACCCGGAGGGGUCACUCCAGGAUGGCACAGGGCACGAACACGGGGAUGCUACAGAAACACCCACCAACACCCGGAGGCUGCAAGGCUGGCCCCAGACGUCUCGGUUGGAGCCGGGAGGCCGGUUGGCUGCUAGCGGGCUUUCACGGAAGCGCCCUGGAGGUCCCAACUCAGUGGCCGGGUUUUCUUCUCUAGUCUGGCUGGGUCUCCUCACCCUCGGCCUUCCCUUCCCCCCAAAUAAAUAAAUAUCUGGGAGGGCAGCGAUCUCGGCGGGGCGCCGGGCCCCGCGCCUCCGCGCAGAAGAACUUCCUGGCGCAUCAAAACUCGCUGCAGUCCUCCCGCCGAGCGCAGGAUAUGGGGCGCGCUCGCCUCUCUUCAGAAAAGGAAACGUAGCUCUUCCAAAAAUAUAAAUCAGUUCUGACGUCCAAAUAUUUCUUUUGUCCUCCAGCAUCCUCUGUAGGGAUAAAUAAAACGUGCUCGGCGCCCAGAGGCUGACGAAGGACCUCGGGGCGCCCAGAAGCCGUCUCUGAAGUGCUGCUUCUGGGGAGUCUCCUUCCCCAUUUGCCACUCUCACCGGGUCGUGGACCUCUUCAGCUUGCCCCUCCGUCCCUUAGAAGGACCAAGUCUUUGAGGGCGAAUGGCUUGUGGGGCUGGCCUGAGGGGUGCUGGGAAAAAGUGAAGUCCGGGAGAGCAGGGCUCGAGUAGCCCCUUUCAGGGCUUAAUUUCCCAGUCAACACAGGGUGUGCGCCUAACUCUUGGUGGCCUCCGGUUCCAGUAGUACCAUGAGGACCCCGGAA